UGGAAGUAAAGUCGUAACAAGGUUUCCGUAGGUGAACCUGCGGAAGGAUCAUUACCGAGUGAGGGCCCUCUGGGUCCAACCUCCCACCCGUGUUUAUUUUACCUUGUUGCUUCGGCGGGCCCGCCUUAACUGGCCGCCGGGGGGCUCACGCCCCCGGGCCCGCGCCCGCCGAAGACACCCUCGAACUCUGUCUGAAGAUUGAAGUCUGAGUGAAAAUAUAAAUUAUUUAAAACUUUCAACAACGGAUCUCUUGGUUCCGGCAUCGAUGAAGAACGCAGCGAAAUGCGAUACGUAAUGUGAAUUGCAAAUUCAGUGAAUCAUCGAGUCUUUGAACGCACAUUGCGCCCCCUGGUAUUCCGGGGGGCAUGCCUGUCCGAGCGUCAUUGCUGCCCUCAAGCCCGGCUUGUGUGUUGGGCCCCGUCCUCCGAUCUCCGGGGGACGGGCCCGAAAGGCAGCGGCGGCACCGCGUCCGGUCCUCGAGCGUAUGGGGCUUUGUCACCCGCUCUGUAGGCCCGGCCGGCGCUUGCCGAUCAACCCAAAUUUUUAUCCAGGUUGACCUCGGAUCAGGUAGGGAUACCCGCUGAACUUAAGCAUAUCAAUAAGCGGAGGAA
This 611-nucleotide ribosomal RNA is filed under the name Penicillium commune. Its description in RNAcentral is "eukaryotic LSU rRNA". The stretch from base 231 to 383 matches the Rfam family "5.8S ribosomal RNA". Lineage: Eukaryota; Fungi; Ascomycota; Eurotiomycetes; Eurotiales; Aspergillaceae. The record is from RNAcentral.